UCAUUGGCAGGUGAAUUUGAAAACAUUCAUAGUUAUCCAUAGGACCUUGACGGAGUGUGCAAUUAGUAUUCAUAUAGAUGGUAUUUUAUGUUAAUGAUGAAAGCAUCUGGUUUAGGCUCUUCUAGAGGCAGUGUUGGCAUGUAGAUGAUGAGGAAUUAGGCGAUGAGGAGGAAAUGAUGAAGGCAGAUGACCAAAAGGUCUUAUAGAAGAAGAAGAAGCUUAGAAGUUUGAUACACCAAGCAACUCCAUCUGAAAGUGGAAGAAUCCAAAGGAACUGCGGUCCAGUGGCUGUAUAAAAGAAAAGGACAACGCAUGCUCUCUCUCUCACAGUAGCUCUGUGUUCCUCUCCCCCCAAACCUAAUGGCUUCAGCCCAAUUCAGAGCCUGCUUGGAUCAGGACCUCUUGGAGAUUCGGAGCUCUAGGUGAGAUAAUUUUCCCCAAAUUGUAUUCAAUCUGUGUUGCUUCAUUUCAUUUUCCAUUUUAAUCUAGAAUUGUUGAUAUUUUAGGCGGGUAUUGCAUGUAUAACCACAACAAUUUUUGUGUUGGAUUGGGGUCAAAUUGUCCAACUUUAUUAGCUAUUUGGUCGCCUGUGUAUUUGUAAUAUGAAUAAUAUGAAUUAGGGUUUUUCUGUUAGUGUCCGAUUGGUCAAGAAAUGAUGCUUCUUUUUUGUUAUCAUGCCUAUUUUAGCUGUAAACAUCUGAAAAACUGCUUAAUUGAAGUGAGAUUUCCAGUUUUUGAGCUCAAUUUCAGGUCUUUACCUUUGAAUUUGUUUACAUGUAUCCCUGCUAAAGCUACAUAAUUGUGUUGAAUUUAUUCAACUUAAAUGUGUUUUAUUCAUCCAAUUACAUCUGAAACAACAGGUUCCCGCAGCAACGUGCGGGCAUAUUUUCUCGUUUAUACUAACAUAACCCUAAUGCAUCUUCACAUAAUAAUGUCAUUAGGAUUCCUUAUUGUAUAAGGAUACAAUCUACCAAAUCUCAAUCCAAAUAGGAUAGUAUUAGGAGCCCUUAUUCUCCAAAUAUAACCGAAAUAUAUACUUUACUUGGAAUCCAAGUUAUAGAUUAUAACUAAACCCUAAUCCUACUUACAUUCCAUGUCAAUCCUUAUUAACUAUAUUGAUCUAUUAGCCGUUGAAUUAGAGUCCAACAUCCAACAAGAGGUCGCAUUGUGCAAUGGGAACCGCAAAGGGAAGUUUUGGUUCAUACCACGGUGGGUGUGUUUUGGAGCCAUUGUGGUUGGAACUCAACCCUAGAAAGUUUAUCGGAAGGGGUUCCAAUGUUAUGCCAGCCCUGUUUUAGCGAUCGAAAGGUGCAUGCAAGGUAUGUGAACCAAGUUUGGAGAGUAGGGUUUCAAUUGGAGGAUAAGUUAGAGAAAGGAGAGAUAGAAAGAGCUAUUAAAAAACUUAUGGCAGAUGACGAUGGGAAGGAAA
This is a non-coding RNA of Malus domestica (apple), 1429 nucleotides long. Lineage: Eukaryota; Viridiplantae; Streptophyta; Magnoliopsida; Rosales; Rosaceae. The record is from RefSeq and is a predicted model, not a curated record.